GGUGCCAGCAGCCGCGGUAAUUCCAGCUCCAAUAGCGUAUAUUAAAGUUGCUGCAGUUAAAAAGCUCGUAGUUGGAUCUCAGUUACGGGCAGGUGGUUCACUUUACAGUGCUACUACCUGAACUGAACCUAUUGCUGGAUCUCUUGGGUGCCCUUCACUGGGUGCCCCUUGAGACCAGAGCGUUUACUUUGAGAAAAUUAGAGUGCUCAAAGCAGGCGAAUGCUUGAAUAGUUGUGCAUGGAAUAAUGAAAUAUGGCCUCGGUACUGUUUUGUUGGUUCACGGUGCUCGAGGUAAUGGUUGAAAGGGACUGACGGGGGCAUUCGUAUUGCGACGUUAGAGGUGAAAUUCUUAGAUCGUCGCAAGACGGACUACUGCGAAAGCAUUUGCCAAGAAUGUCUUCAUUAAUCAAGAACGAAAGUCAGAGGUUCGAAGGCGAUCAGAUACCGCCCUAGUUCUGACCUUAAACGAUGCUAACUGGCGAUCCAGUGGGGGUAUUUAAAAUGACCUGCUGGGCAGCUUCUGGGAAACCAAAGUUUUUGGGUUCCGGGGGAAGUAUGGUUGCAAAGCUGGAACUUAAAGGAAUUGACGGAAGGGCACCACCAGGAGUGGAGCCUGUGGCUUAAUUUGACUCAACACGGGAAACCUCACCAGGCCCAGACACUAGAAGGAUUGACAGAUUGAGAGCUCUUUCUUGAUUUGGUGGAUGGUGGUGCAUGGCCGUUCUUAGUUGGUGGAGUGAUUUGUCUGGUUAAUUCCGAUAACGAAC
RNAcentral lists this ribosomal RNA (767 nucleotides) under Candona sp. 59 IK-2020. Its description in RNAcentral is "SSU rRNA". It matches the Rfam family "Eukaryotic small subunit ribosomal RNA", at positions 563 to 1336 of the family's 1831-position model. The record is from RNAcentral. Lineage: Eukaryota; Metazoa; Arthropoda; Ostracoda; Podocopida; Candonidae.